This is a long non-coding RNA of Cygnus olor (mute swan), 344 nucleotides long. RefSeq lists it as uncharacterized. The record is from RefSeq and is a predicted model, not a curated record. Lineage: Eukaryota; Metazoa; Chordata; Aves; Anseriformes; Anatidae. The transcript is spliced from 3 exons.
CUUAUGGGGUUCACCAGAACAAUUUCAUCAAUGUUUGAGGUACUAGUGCCAUUGAGGUAUCCAGCCUCACCUGCAGCAAUUACUCCAGAAAGGUGAAGUUGUCCACAGGAAAAUGAAAUUUUUGGAACUGAAGAUCAUCUUCAUCAAUGGAGUGAUCCAUUGGUUUAAAUCUGGAAACACAAUGAACCUUUGGUGUAACUGGUUACUGAAUCUCAACUAAGCCCAGGACACCUACCACACACCCUCAGAAAGUGCACUUCAGUUCUGGUAUGAAACAUAGGAAGUUAAGUCACUCUCCUUCAAAAAGAUAGAGGAUAUAAAUAUGAAUCAUGGUAAAUAAAUGA